GGCAGUGUAGCAUAGUGGUUAAAGAGCAGGACUCAUACCUGAACGGUUGCUGGUUCAAUUCCUGCUAGGGCACUGCUG
This is a non-coding RNA of Megalops atlanticus (tarpon), 78 nucleotides long. Lineage: Eukaryota; Metazoa; Chordata; Actinopteri; Elopiformes; Megalopidae. The record is from the annotation of a GenBank genome assembly.